GACGAACGCUGGCGGCGUGCUUAACACAUGCAAGUCGAACGGAAAGGCCCUGCUUUUGUUGGGUGCUCGAGUGGCGAACGGGUGAGUAACACGUGAGUAACCUGCCCUUGACUUUGGGAUAACUUCAGGAAACUGGGGCUAAUACCGCAUAGGAGCUCCUGCUGCAUGUUGGGGGUUGGAAAGUUUCGGCGGUUGGGGAUGGACUCGCGGCUUAUCAGCUUGUUGGUGGGGUAGUGGCUUACCAAGGCUUUGACGGGUAGCCGGCCUGAGAGGGUGACCGGCCACAUUGGGACUGAGAUACGGACCAGAAGCCUACGGGAGGCAGCAGUGGGGAAUAUUGCACAAUGGGCGGAAGCCUGAUGUAGCAACGCCGCGUGCGGGAUGACGGCCUUUGGGUUGUAAACCGCUUUGGACUGUGACGAAGCGUGAGUGACGGUAAUGGGUAAAGAAGCAACGGCUAACUACGUG
This 468-nucleotide ribosomal RNA is filed under the name uncultured bacterium. RNAcentral describes it as "partial 16S ribosomal RNA". It matches the Rfam family "Bacterial small subunit ribosomal RNA", at positions 28 to 507 of the family's 1533-position model. The record is from RNAcentral.